CGGAGGGAUCAUUACCGAGUUAUUCAACUCAUCAACCCUGUGAACAUACCUAAACGUUGCUUCGGCGGGAACAGACGGCCCCGUGAAACGGGCCGCCCCCGCCAGAGGACCCCUAACUCUGUUUCUAUAAUGUUUCUUCUGAGUAAAACAAGCAAAUAAAUUAAAACUUUCAACAACGGAUCUCUUGGCUCUGGCAUCGAUGAAGAACGCAGCGAAAUGCGAUAAGUAAUGUGAAUUGCAGAAUUCAGUGAAUCAUCGAAUCUUUGAACGCACAUUGCGCCCGCCAGUAUUCUGGCGGGCAUGCCUGUUCGAGCGUCAUUACAACCCUCAGGCCCCCGGGCCUGGCGUUGGGGAUCGGCGGAGCCCCCCGUGGGCACACGCCGUCCCCCAAAUACAGUGGCGGUCCCGCCGCAGCUUCCAUCGCGUAGUAGCUAACACCUCGCGACUGGAGAGCGGCGCGGCCACGCCGUAAAACACCCAACUCUUCUGAAGUUGACCUCGAAUCAGGUAGGAAUACCCGCUGAACUUAAGCAU
RNAcentral lists this ribosomal RNA (534 nucleotides) under Fusarium solani. RNAcentral describes it as "eukaryotic LSU rRNA". The stretch from base 165 to 318 matches the Rfam family "5.8S ribosomal RNA". The record is from RNAcentral. Lineage: Eukaryota; Fungi; Ascomycota; Sordariomycetes; Hypocreales; Nectriaceae.